AUUAACCUGUGUUGUACGAUGACUCGUUAUUUUGAACCUACAACUCAACUCAGGGAGACGGAUAUGCGAAAAACAAUGUCGGGCCCCAACCUAAUACGCUUUGCGCAGGGGAAGGCAAUAGUUUGGACUUAGUCACCCACCUAGCUAUGCUAGGGCGUCAAAAUUGCGAGGACGGCAAGAUGGGGAAAUG
RNAcentral lists this non-coding RNA (190 nucleotides) under Candidatus Parepulonipiscium sp. PG-Nun2H_MBin03. Its description in RNAcentral is "Epulopiscium sp. Nuni2H_MBin003 6S RNA". It matches the Rfam family "6S / SsrS RNA". From Rfam's summary of the family: E. coli 6S RNA was the first non coding RNA to be sequenced, but its function was unknown until recently. It consists of 184 nucleotides that fold into an extended hairpin structure with a large single-stranded internal bulge. The record is from RNAcentral. Lineage: Bacteria; Bacillati; Bacillota; Clostridia; Lachnospirales; Lachnospiraceae.